AGCGAACGCUGGCGGCAGGCUUAACACAUGCAAGUCGAGCGGGCACUUCGGUGUCAGCGGCAGACGGGUGAGUAACACGUGGGAACGUACCCUUUGGUUCGGAAUAACGCUGGGAAACUAGCGCUAAUACCGGAUACGCCCUUUUGGGGAAAGGCUUGCUGCCGAAGGAUCGGCCCGCGUCUGAUUAGCUAGUUGGUGGGGUAAUGGCCUACCAAGGCGACGAUCAGUAGCUGGUCUGAGAGGGUGAUCAGCCACACUGGGACUGAGACACGGCCCAGACUCCUACGGGAAGCAGCAGUGGGGAAUAUUGGACAAUGGGCGCAAGCCUGAUCCAGCCAUGCCGCGUGAGUGAUGAAGGCCUUAGGGUUGUAAAGCUCUUUUGUCCGGGACGAUAAUGACGGUACCGGAAGAAUAAGCCCCGGCUAACUUCGUG
Molecule: ribosomal RNA, 433 nt
Filed under: uncultured bacterium
Lineage: Bacteria
Description: partial 16S ribosomal RNA
Rfam family: Bacterial small subunit ribosomal RNA
Source: RNAcentral